CUGACCGUAAACGAUGCCAACUAGCGAUCCGCCGGCGGAUUCAUUCGCCCUGGUGGGGAGCUUCCCGGAAACGAAAGUCUUCCGGUUCCGGGGGAAGUAUGGUUGCAAAGCUGAAACUUAAAGGAAUUGACGGAAGGGCACCACCAGGAGUGGAGCCUGCGGCUUAAUUUGACUCAACACGGGGAAACUCACCCGGCCCGGACACCGUAAGGAUUGACAGAUUGAUAGCUUUUUCAUGAUUCGGUGGAUGGUGGUGCAUGGCCGUUCUUAGUUCGUGGAGCGAUUUGUCUGGUUUAUUCCGAUAACGAGCGAGACUCUGGCCUACUAAAUAGUUGGCGCAUUGCCACUGUGCGCUCUAACUUCUUAGAGGGAUUUUCGGUGUUCAGCCGCACGAAAUUGAGCAAUAACAGGUCUGUGAUGCCCUUAGAUGUCCGGGGCUGCACGCGCGCUACACUGGCAAAAUCAGCGUGCUUGUCCUUCCCCGAAAGGGGUUGGUAAACCCGUGAAAAUUUGCCGUGAUUGGGAUCGGACAUUGCAAUUAUUGUCCGUGAACGAGGAAUUCCUUGUAGGGGCGAGUCAUCAACUCGCUCUGAUUACGUCCCUGCCUUUUGUAAA
RNAcentral lists this ribosomal RNA (615 nucleotides) under Helicotylenchus sp. GV. RNAcentral describes it as "SSU rRNA". It matches the Rfam family "Eukaryotic small subunit ribosomal RNA", at positions 1026 to 1666 of the family's 1831-position model. Lineage: Eukaryota; Metazoa; Nematoda; Chromadorea; Rhabditida; Hoplolaimidae. The record is from RNAcentral.